ACCGGCAGCUCAAGUGGUGGCCACUAUUAUUGGGCUUAAAGCGUUCGUAGCUGGUUUGAUAAGUCUCUGGGGAAAUCUUGCAGCUCAACCGGGAGACGUCUCGGGGAUACUGGCAGGCUAGAGGCCGGGAGAGGUGAGAGGUACUCCAGGGGUAGGAGUGAAAUCCUGUAAUCCUUGGGGGACCACCUGUGGCGAAGGCGCCUAACUAGGACGGCCCCGACAGUGAGUAACGAAAGCUGGGGGAGCAAACCG
This 252-nucleotide ribosomal RNA is filed under the name uncultured prokaryote. RNAcentral describes it as "partial 16S rRNA". It matches the Rfam family "Archaeal small subunit ribosomal RNA", at positions 475 to 726 of the family's 1478-position model. The record is from RNAcentral.